This 725-nucleotide ribosomal RNA is filed under the name Varronia leucocephala. Its description in RNAcentral is "eukaryotic LSU rRNA". The stretch from base 268 to 423 matches the Rfam family "5.8S ribosomal RNA". Lineage: Eukaryota; Viridiplantae; Streptophyta; Magnoliopsida; Boraginales; Cordiaceae. The record is from RNAcentral.
UAAGGUUUCCCGUAGGUGAACCUGCGGAAGGAUCAUUGUCGAAUCCUGUAAACACAAAUGACCGGUGAACUUGUUUAACCACACGGGUUCAAGACGAGUGGGCAGCAAUGCCUUUCACGCCUUUAACCCCAUAGCCGGGGCACAAGCCCCGCAAAACGAACCCCGGCACGUAAAGUGCCAAGGAAAACUCAUAACGAGAGCCUUCCUCAUCCUUUCCCGUUCGCGGGUUGCGGGGUGAGGCAACGGCUAAUUCUCGAAACGUAAAACAACUCUCGGCAACGGAUAUCUCGGCUCUCGCAUCGAUGAAGGACGUAGCGAAAUGCGAUACUUGGUGUGAAUUGCAGAAUCCCGUGAAUCAUCGAGUCUUUGAACGCAAGUUGCGCCCGAAGCCGUUUGGCCGAGGGCACGUCUGCCUGGGCGUCACGCAUCUCGUCGCCCCCCGCACCUGCCCUUCCCUAACAAAGGGCUUAGGUAAAGGUGCGAUGGGGCGGAAUCUGGCCUCCCGUGCUGCUAUGUUGGCGUGGUUGGCCAAAAUGUAUGUCUGCGCCGAAGGACGUCACGGCAAGUGGUGGUUGUUACACUCAACUCUCUUGUUGUCGUGCCGUGUCCUCUCUCGACGCGGAUUUGAUCAGACCCUGUUGCCAUUGUCUCUUCUUAACGGAGGAGCCAUGCGUUACGACUGCGACCCCAGGUCAGGCGGGACUACCCGCUGAUUUUAAGCAUAA